UGGAAUCGAGGAAGAGCCAGCAGCAGGAGGAUCUCAAGGAAUUGGGCCCUUCCGAGAUGGGGAGGUGGGGGCGGACCUGCGGGCGGCACGGGUCUUACCCAAGUGGUGGGGCGCUCAGGACCCAACAGCUCGCAGAGCCGCGGCCGGGGAGCCUGCUGGGGACGUCGGAGAAGCAGGCAUGAAGGAGCCGCCUAGAAGAAUCUCCGUCAGUAAUCACAUUUGGGAUACAGGCUCAUUGGCAGACUUGGAAGAGACCUGACAGAGGAUGCUGGUGGUCCCUGAAAGACAACUGUCACAGGAAGAGGAACUUGGUCCACACCAGGACCAGAAAGUGGGAGGGAUCAGUCAUUCCAGACACCUCACAGGGGCUGGUGGUUGAACUCACCCUGCCCCAGACUCUUUCAACAAAGAGAGUUUUCAUGCUGAGCUCACCACACCUGGGGCCCAAGCAGACCUCUGGUGGGGACCCCUGGCUGGGUAACAAGAUGGGGGACUUCCCUCAUCAUUCUGCUCUUGGAGCACCCUAAGGUGUGAGUGUCAGGACAGGAAAGGUGGGCACCCCAUGCAUGGGGCUUUGGCAGCAGCCUGGGCAAUAACACAGGCCAACCUCUGGCUCUGCUAGCGGCAUUAAUGCAGGAGCCUCAACUCAGCAGGGGCCGCAGGUGCCAACAACAGCAAAUGACUUCAAGACUGCUUUCCAAGUGCAGUGAGACACAUUAGGGAACACCCAGAAACAUAUGGGACAGGUGGACUUUGCAGGGAAAGGGAAUUCCCACACAGGCAGGAUGGCUCUGGGCUGACAUAAACCGUGGUUUAAUUUU
Molecule: long non-coding RNA, 821 nt
Organism: Lagenorhynchus albirostris (white-beaked dolphin)
Lineage: Eukaryota; Metazoa; Chordata; Mammalia; Artiodactyla; Delphinidae
Exons: 2
Source: RefSeq, a predicted model, not a curated record